GAUCCUGGCUCAGGAUGAACGCUGGCGGCGUGCUUAACACAUGCAAGUCGAACGAAGCGUUUGAGAUUGAUUCUUCGGAAGAUUUCUCUUGUGACUUAGUGGCGGACGGGUGAGUAACGCGUGGGUAACCUGCCUCACACAGGGGGAUAACAGUUGGAAACGACCGCUAAUACCGCAUAACCCGCUAGGGCCGCAUGGCCCGGACGGAAAAGAUUUAUCGGUGUGAGAUGGACCCGCGUUGGAUUAGCUAGUUGG
Molecule: ribosomal RNA, 255 nt
Filed under: uncultured bacterium
Lineage: Bacteria
Description: partial 16S ribosomal RNA
Rfam family: Bacterial small subunit ribosomal RNA
Source: RNAcentral